AGUAACGAAGUGUUUAAGAUUUAUUCUAGCACUCAACUUGGGAGCUAUUAACUCCCAUGAUUAGUCAUGUUGAAACUUGUGUGUCUCUGUUCUUGAUUCAAAGAAGAGCAUGUUGUUAAGCUAAGCACACACGCACAAUCUGUACUUGUGUUCACUAAGUGGUUUUAUUGCGGUGUGAGCCUGAUGUGUCUAAACUUGUUGCAUAUUCUGAUGGUUAUCACUAACUUGGAAUAUACUAUUAUUAUUGGGAUCCAUACAUAUUCAUUUAUUAGUUGCAUUCAUGUAGUUGCACUCCAUGCUUGUGUUCUUGUGGUCAUCUAUAUUAUUAUUACAUGAGCUAGAUGGAUUUUGUGGGUACAUUCGCUAUAGGCCCUCACGAGACCUUACUCGUCCACUAGGGCUGCCUAGGGGUUUAAAGGGCUUGUUGCAUAUGCCAAAUGCAACCGUGAUCACCUACGGAAGUGGUAUAUAUCUAUUAGGUGUUAGUUUUAUUUAUUUUAUUUGCCCGAGGACGUGCAAAAGACUAAGUGUGGG
RNAcentral lists this long non-coding RNA (534 nucleotides) under Daucus carota (carrot). RNAcentral's name for it is "long non-coding RNA (DCAR_LNC005037)". The record is from RNAcentral. Lineage: Eukaryota; Viridiplantae; Streptophyta; Magnoliopsida; Apiales; Apiaceae.